GUGCCAGCAGCCGCGGUAAUACGGAGGGUGCAAGCGUUAUCCGGAUUCACUGGGUUUAAAGGGUGCGUAGGUGGUUUUGUAAGUCAGUGGUGAAAGCCCGGAGCUUAACUCCGGAACUGCCAUUGAUACUGCUUAACUUGAAUCAACUUGAGGUGGAUGGAAUAUUACAUGUAGCGGUGAAAUGCUUAGAUAUGUAAUAGAACACCGAUUGCGAAGGCAGUUCACUAAGGUUGUAUUGACACUGAGGCACGAAAGCGUGGGGAUCAAACAGGAUUAGAUACCCUUGUAGUCC
RNAcentral lists this ribosomal RNA (292 nucleotides) under uncultured bacterium. Its description in RNAcentral is "partial 16S ribosomal RNA". It matches the Rfam family "Bacterial small subunit ribosomal RNA", at positions 505 to 796 of the family's 1533-position model. The record is from RNAcentral.